This 440-nucleotide ribosomal RNA is filed under the name uncultured bacterium. RNAcentral describes it as "partial 16S ribosomal RNA". It matches the Rfam family "Bacterial small subunit ribosomal RNA", at positions 339 to 795 of the family's 1533-position model. The record is from RNAcentral.
CUACGGGGGGCUGCAGUGAGGAAUAUUGCACAAUGGGGGGAACCCUGAUGCAGCAACGCCGCGUGGAGGAUGACGCAUUUCGGUGUGUAAACUCCUUUUAUAUGUCAAGAAAAUGACGGUAGCAUAUGAAUAAGCACCGGCUAACUCCGUGGCCAGCAGCCGCAGUAAUACGGAGGGUGCAAGCGUUACUCGGAAUCACUGGGCGUAAAGGACGCGUAGGCGGGUUGGAAAGUCAGGUGUGAAAUCCUACAGCUUAACUGUAGAACUGCACUUGAAACUUCUAAUCUAGAGUAUGGGAGGGGGAGAUGGAAUUAGUGGUGUAGGGGUAAAAUCCGUAGAUAUCACUAGGAAUACCUAAAGCGAAGGCGAUCUCCUGGAACAUUACUGACGCUAAGGCGUGAAAGCGUGGGGAGCAAACAGGAUUAGAUACCCCUGUAGAC